GCAGUUUUAAAGAAACAAAAAUACAUAGGCAUUGGGUUCUCAUUCUUAGUAACCUUGGCUUAUUUUCAUCUAAUUUUGGUGUCCAUUCCCUGUUCCCUAACACCUAUUUUCUAAUUAAAUUCAUAUUAAAGUUUCAAAUUUAUGAGACAGAGCACAGAAAACAUACAGUGUGCUUGUCACACAGGUGGCUUUAGGGAGAAUCAUUUCAACGUAAACACCAAGAGAUUGGUCUGGAGCCCAGAAAAAUAAAAAAAAGAAAAUAAGCAUUCCACUUCUCCAGACUCUGCUGUUUUCAGGGUGGUACCUCCAACCAAAAGCUUGUUUCUUAUUCAUCCAUCACUUCUGUACUUUGUCUUGACCAUGAACUCUUGGUCAAGUCAUUAAUCUCUCUGAGCUUUUCUCAUCUGCAAAUUGUAGAUAAUUUCAAUAAUCCUAAAUUUUCUGGGCUAAUCUGUGAUGAUAUGUGUGAAGGCAAUUGAAAACCUCUAAAAUAUCUUACAAAUAUUGACCUAUUAUGAGAAUGUGUGUUUAAAUACAUAAAACAUUAAAUACAAAUAAAUACAAAAUACAAAAAAAAUGUUAAAUACAAACAAAAUUCCCUGAUUCCCCCUUCUAAGAAGCCUGAAAGUUGGGUGAUCCAGCAGGAAAGGAGAGCGAACCUCACCAUCAGGAUGGAAUAAGAUGCCAAAGAUAGGAGGAGAGUGGAAACAAGGGAGAGCCCAGCGAGACACUGUUUAAUGUUUGAAAUCAGUGCCAAGCUAAAUUAGAAACAUGAGUCUGUGUACCUGUAACUUACCUCAUCGGUAUAUCAUCUGUAACCUGAGAUCCCCUCACAGAGAAGUAAAAAUAGCAAGGCUCUUGGGCUGAGUGCAGGAGGGCCAGCGUGGGGAAGGAUAAAGGGACUAGGCAGAGAACGCCAAUCACGUGGUCUGAGCGAGAACUCCUCCUCACCCCUUGGGUGGUGGCAGGGGGAAUACAGCCAAGAGAGGUGACAUCAAGGGCGUUAUGACAUUUCCUCAAAACGAAGCAUCAUUGACGUCCUGCGCCUGCCUGCUCCUGCCCUGAUCAAGGCAAGUAAACUAGUCAAUGGAGGCACGUGCUCGCGCAGGUGCGGAGCAGAUGAAGCUGCUUUUCCAGGCGUGUAGCUGGCUCUUAGCAGGGUGCAAGCAGCAAUUUGCGAAAUGAUUGCCUCGCUCUCCACGAAAACGUUUUCCCUCACUGGGCGGGUGAGCUUGGGAAUCCCCAGAGAGCAGUGUGCUGCCUUCCAUUAGGGUCUUGUCGCCUCUCGCAUCAGCUCUAUGCCUGUCUUGUACCACUGCGAAUUGAUCUGGGAAGGCUUUGUCUGCCUUUAGUUCCUG
RNAcentral lists this long non-coding RNA (1358 nucleotides) under Equus caballus (horse). RNAcentral describes it as "lncRNA (ENSECAG00000046742.1)". The record is from RNAcentral. Lineage: Eukaryota; Metazoa; Chordata; Mammalia; Perissodactyla; Equidae.